Molecule: ribosomal RNA, 261 nt
Filed under: uncultured bacterium
Lineage: Bacteria
Description: partial 16S ribosomal RNA
Rfam family: Bacterial small subunit ribosomal RNA
Source: RNAcentral
ACCGGCGCACGGGUGAGUAACACGUAUCCAACCUGCCGUCUACUCUUGGACAGCCUUCUGAAAGGAAGAUUAAUACAAGAUGGCAUCAUGAGUCCGCAUGUUCACAUGAUUAAAGGUAUUCCGGUAGACGAUGGGGAUGCGUUCCAUUAGAUAGUAGGCGGGGUAACGGCCCACCAAGACUACGAUGGAUAGGGGUUCUGAGAGGAAGGUCCCCCACAUUGGAACUGAGACACGGUCCAAACUCCUACGGGAGGCAGCAUG